This 929-nucleotide long non-coding RNA is filed under the name Fukomys damarensis (Damara mole-rat). Its description in RNAcentral is "lncRNA (ENSFDAG00000023618.1)". Lineage: Eukaryota; Metazoa; Chordata; Mammalia; Rodentia; Bathyergidae. The record is from RNAcentral.
GAAAGGCAGUAUGUGGAAGCUGUUGAGUUGGAGGCUAAAGAAGUUCUUAAAAAAUUAUUUCCAAAGGUGUCUGUCCCUUCUCAUUUGAUUACCACAGGGGAGAUUAAACUAUAUGACCUGAAGGGAGAUUUACAAACUCUAAAGCAUUUAAAUCAGCUUUUCAUCUGAUGUUAUGUUGGAUCUCAAUGUUUCAAGCUGUUCGGAAGGAAUUUUACAGAAGCUACAGAAAAGUGUGGAGGAAGAGGAAAAUAAAUGGAAAGUUAAGGUCGAUGAAUUACAAAAGACAGUUAAGCAGCUGAGAGGAGAACGAGAGCGUUUGGAGAUGGAGCUAGAGAAGGCAGAAAUUGAACGAUCUACCUAUGUUACAGAAGUGAGAGAGCUGAAAGACCUGUUGACUGAAUUGCAGAAAAAACUUGAUGAUUCAUAUUCUGAAGCAGUAAGACAGAAUGAAGAGCUAAAUUUGGUAAGAAACUUGUUCUCCACUGGGUACCAAGUAGGCUCUGAAAACACUUGUGUUGACAUGUGGAGAAACAGUCCAAACUUUUUUUUCCUUGCUAACCAUUUAUAGCUUGGCAUGUUAUAAAUUUUAAGAUAAUCUUUAUAUUCUGGUGAUUCCUAAGAUCUUUUUCAUGACUCAUAAAAUGAUUCUUUUCUUAACUCCUAACAAUGGCAUGUUUGACUUCUGACUCUGUAUUUUUAUAAAGCCUAAUUUCUCGGACAACAUCAUUGUUAGCAAAUAAAGAAACAAAACAAAUGGUUGGCCAAGUUGUGAAGAUUCUCUUCUCAAGCUGUCGUAGUUAACUGGGCCUCUCAUUUUCUAACCUGGAAGAUUAUUGAAGAUUGAAGAUAACUGCUCUUCAUUCUAGGGCAGUAGUGCAGUCCAGCUUCUUAUUUUGUCUAAUCUUCAUAAAUUAUAAAAUACAAGGAGC